Molecule: long non-coding RNA, 2577 nt
Organism: Rhinolophus ferrumequinum (greater horseshoe bat)
Lineage: Eukaryota; Metazoa; Chordata; Mammalia; Chiroptera; Rhinolophidae
Exons: 3
Source: RefSeq, a predicted model, not a curated record
AAGCCAGAGAUCCCAGAACCAGCCGUUGUCCCCUGGCAAAAGAGGCCCAGUGCUGAGCCUUGGGCAAAUGUCUGCAGACAUGCUGUCCCCCCUCCCUUAUUAGUUUCCCUUACCAAGAGAAACCAUUUCCUUUUGCCACCAAAAACUAGGUUGCAUCCAAAAGUUUCUCACAAGCUUAAAAAAACGAAAAAUUGACAGCCAUUACACAGAAGAGCCCACAAAAGCUGCAGCAGCACCAGGGAUGAAGAAGCAGCGACAGACCCAGGUCUGCAGGACACAUCGAAGAACUGUCCUAUCAUGCAAGGGAGAGACUGAAACGCUCACUGGCCUCCAUCAGGAAAGCUAAAAAUCUCUCCUCCUUUCCUGCAAAUUUUCCAAACCCCAUGACUCUGAUUUUCAGGAACCAGAGGAGAGGAACAGCUUUUUAAGAGUCAGACCCUGAAAACAUUUCCAAGCAGCCUGGACAAAGGCUUGGAGUGACUACAAUAGUGAACCAUCCUGCCUUGGACCCCAAUCUAGAUUGAUGACCUAAUACAUCUUUUCCAACUCUGACUGCCAUAGUUUUAUGAGCAUCAAGAACUGGGUGCCUGCCACUGUCAACAAUUAGAGCUUCUCCAGAACUUAUACAUCCACAGAAACUCAAGUAUCCCCCACAGCACAGAUCGUGCAGUCUCCUAGGGCUCACGGUGCUUCUUCUAGCUUCACCACAUGUGAAAUGGAAACUCCUCUUUGGCAGGAUCUUUCUUAAAGAAAAGGAAGUGUACCCGUUACUUUCCCAUGUUAUCUUGGCUUUAGAACAGAGCGAUCCCUGAGAAGCUAAUGAAGCUUAACUUAAGCGUCCUCCUUCUCAGGGGCCCCUUCCAAAGCCCUAUACCUACUUUGGUGCUGUAAGUUUGCAUUAUUUUUUUUAAAGGAGUCCGAUUCAUUGUAUAAGCUAUAGACCUCCCCACAUCCCAUCUCCCAGGGGGAGCUGCUCCUCACCUAGAGAACUGGCACCAAAUCUUAGCUUGAUAAAAGUAUAAAAAUUAAACUCUAACUCCUCUUUAUCUUUUAUGGACACUGCCUACCCCUGGCAAUUCCCCAUUCAGGAUGAACUUCUUAGUUGGAGUUUCUGGUCCUCAGAUAUCUUCUGCACUACAGUGCUGAUUCAAAACCUAGCCGCAAUUUAAGUUUAUUCUCCCUAGCUUCUUCCUGAUACUCCACUGUGGGCUAAUUAUUACAAUGACUAAAGGCCGGAAGAGUUCCCACAUGUGGUCCUCCUUUUGGUUAAGUGGCAUCACUGUUCCAGUGCCAGCUAAGCUUUGUUUUCCAGUAGAGUUAAUGGAUUUGGACUAGGCUUCUCCACUUUCCUAACAGGGCUCUCAGGGGACUGAGCCACAGAAACAUUUAUUUUUUCUGAUUACAAAAGUAAUGGCAUAUAAAUGUUCAUAUAUACAUAUAAAACUUGAAACAUUAUAAUAAUAUAUAGCAGAGAAAGUGAAAAUCUUCCAUAAUCCCACACAGCUGAGAAAACCAGUUAACAUUUUUUUCAAGGCAUAUAUUAAAAUUUCAUUUAUUAUUUUAUAAAAAUGGGAUCAUACUCUCCACUCUUAAGCAUGCUAUUUUCCACCUAGGAAUAUGUCUUAGAUAUAUUUCCACACCAGUCUUUAAAAAGUGAUCUUCUUUUUCACCUUUCUUUUUUUUUAAUUGCUCCAUGGUAUUGUACUGUACGCCCAAACCAUGCUUUUCUUAACCAACUGCUGUUAAUGUAUAUUUGGGUUCUUUCCAGUUUUCCCUGUAACAAAUAUUCUUGCAAACAUCAUUUUACACUUAUAUCUUUAAGCAGUUGUAGGAGUAUUUCUCUAUGAUGAAUUCCCAGAAGGUGAAUUAUUAUUGGGUCAGAGGGUAUGAGCAUUUCAUUUUUAAUAGCUAUUGCCAAAUUGCCCUCCAAUAAUUUUAUACCGAUUUACACCCCCAACCCCACUGUAAGAAGGAGUCUGUUUCUCCACCCUCCUUAGCAACACUAAAAUCAUGCAAUUUGGGGACGUCUGAUGUGAGUUAGGAGUUAAGAGGUUCAGCCUGUGGAGUUUUUUUCCCUUUGUGAACAGCUAACAAAGAGAUCAAAAGUCUCCCCCUUUCCUUGAUGAACCCCCUGCUCUGAGUGAGCCAAUACCCAGACAGACAUCUAGCUAAUGUGAGACGCGAAAAUUCUAACACCUACUGCUCGUGUCUAGCUGAAUUUAUUAGAGACAAUUUGUCCGCGAAUGUAUAAGCAAAUGUGUUAGUUAUAGAAUACUUAAUAACUUAACCACUCAAGAAAUAGAAAUUGAUCCUGACGUUAGCACUGCUGUUUCGAUGUAAACAACACAUUUAAUUUUAUGGCAUGAGAAUGUUUACAUCUGUACAAUUCUUUUUCAUCCCUACAUUUACUGGAGCAAACUAAUUUGAAAAAUCUAUUCUUUAAAGGUAUGUGAAAAGUGACUUUGUGUCAGCCCAUUAAUGAAGAGCAAGGUUUGCCAACAACCAGUCUUCAGGAGCUCAUUUUGAGGAUUACUAUGGUUUAUAUUUCCAGAAUUAGGAUGACUGGCCAUUAAACUG